AUCCUGGCUUAGAACGAACGCUGGCGGCGUGCUUAACACAUGCAAGUCGAACGCGAAAGGGACUUCGGUCCUGAGUAAAGUGGCGCACGGGUGAGUAACGCGUAGAUAACCUGUCUUCAUGUCUGGAAUAAUACGCCAAAGGGGGUACUAAUACCGGAUAUUCUUGCUUUUCAUAAGUUAUGCAAGCAAAGGUGGCCUCUGCAUAUGCUACUGCAUGAAGAGGGGUCUGCGUACCAUUAGCUAGUAGGUGGGGUAAUGGCCUACCUAGGCGACGAUGGUUAGCGGGUCUGAGAGGAUGAUCCGCCACACUGGCACUGGAACACGGGCCAGACUCCUACGGGAGGCAGCAGUGAGGAAUAUUGCGCAAUGGGGGAAACCCUGACGCAGCGACGCCGCGUGAAGUGAGGAAGGCCUUCGGGUCGUAAAGCUCUGUCAAGAGGAAAGAAGUGUACAAUGGCUAAUACCUGUUGUAUUUGACGGUACCUCUAAAGGAAGCACCGGCUAACUCCGUGCCAGCCGCAGC
This 523-nucleotide ribosomal RNA is filed under the name uncultured bacterium. RNAcentral's name for it is "bacterial SSU rRNA". It matches the Rfam family "Bacterial small subunit ribosomal RNA", at positions 16 to 518 of the family's 1533-position model. The record is from RNAcentral.